GACGAACGCUGGCGGCGUGCCUAAUACAUGCAAGUAGGACGCAGUUGCGAACGGGUGAGUAACGCGUAGGUAACUACCUAUUAGAGGGGGAUAACUAUUGGAAACGAUAGCUAAUACCGCAUACUAGUAGAUGGACCUGCGUUGUAUUAGCUAGUAGGUAGGGUAAUGGCCUACCUAGGCAAAGAUACAUAGCCGACCUGGGGGGGGUAUCGUCCACACUGGUACGUGUAAACUGCCCAGACUCCUUCGGGAGGCCGCCGUAGGGAAUCUUCGGCAAUGGGGGGAACCCUGACCGAGCAACGCCGCGUGAGUGAAGAAGGUUUUCUGAUCGUAAAGCUCUGUUGUUAAGGAAGCGGUACUUAACCAGAAAGGGACGGCUAACUACGUGCCAGCAGCCGCGGUAAUUC
This 407-nucleotide ribosomal RNA is filed under the name uncultured bacterium. RNAcentral's name for it is "partial 16S ribosomal RNA". It matches the Rfam family "Bacterial small subunit ribosomal RNA", at positions 28 to 526 of the family's 1533-position model. The record is from RNAcentral.